RNAcentral lists this small nuclear RNA (30 nucleotides) under Arabidopsis thaliana (thale cress). RNAcentral's name for it is "snRNA_07399". The record is from RNAcentral. Lineage: Eukaryota; Viridiplantae; Streptophyta; Magnoliopsida; Brassicales; Brassicaceae.
AUCGGAAGGAUGACGAUCCAUCCGUUGAAC